AGUGAACGCUGGCGGUAGGCCUAACACAUGCAAGUCGAACGGCAGCACAGUAAGAGCUUGCUCUUACGGGUGGCGAGUGGCGGACGGGUGAGGAAUACAUCGGAAUCUACUUUUUCGUGGGGGAUAACGUAGGGAAACUUACGCUAAUACCGCAUACGACCUACGGGUGAAAGCAGGGGAUCUUCGGACCUUGCGCGAUUGAAUGAGCCGAUGUCGGAUUAGCUAGUUGGCGGGGUAAAGGCCCACCAAGGCGACGAUCCGUAGCUGGUCUGAGAGGAUGAACAGCAACAGUGGAACUGAGAAACGGCCAAGCCCCAACGGGGGGGAAACGGUGGGGAUUAUUGAAAAAGGGGCGAAAGCCGGACCCACCCAUCCCGGGGGGUGAAAGAGGGCCUUGGGGUGGAAAGCCUUUUUUGUGGGAAAAAAAAAACAGGAGGUAAACACCCCGUUGUUCGGAGGGUCCACAAAAAAAAAGCCCCGGCAAACUUGGUC
Molecule: ribosomal RNA, 492 nt
Filed under: uncultured bacterium
Lineage: Bacteria
Description: partial 16S ribosomal RNA
Rfam family: Bacterial small subunit ribosomal RNA
Source: RNAcentral